AUUGAACGCUGGCGGCAGGCCUAACACAUGCAAGUCGGGCGAUUCUGGUUUCGGCCAGGAGAGCGGCGAACGGGUGAGUAACACGUAGGAAUCUGCCUGGUAGCGGGGGACAACGUCUAGAAAGGGACGCUAAUACCGCAUACGCCCUCCGGGGGAAAGCAGGGGCUCUUCGGACCUUGCGCUAUCAGCUGAGCCUGCGGCGGAUUAGCUAGUUGGUAGGGUAAAGGCCUACCAAGGUGACGAUCGGUAACUGGUAGGAGAGGAUGAUCAGUCACACCGGAACGGAGACACGGUCCGGACUACGACGGGGGGGAGCAGUGGGGAAUAUUGGACAAGGGGGGGAACCCUGAUCCAGCCAUGCCGCGUGGGUGAAGAAGGCCAUCGGGUUGUAAAGCACUUGAGGUCGGGAGGAAGGUUCGCUGGCUAAUAUCCAGCGGAAUUGACGUUACCGACAGAAUAAGCACCGGCUAACUCCGUGCCAGCAGCCGCCGUAA
This 494-nucleotide ribosomal RNA is filed under the name uncultured bacterium. RNAcentral's name for it is "partial 16S ribosomal RNA". It matches the Rfam family "Bacterial small subunit ribosomal RNA", at positions 29 to 523 of the family's 1533-position model. The record is from RNAcentral.